This is a non-coding RNA of Camelina sativa (false flax), 170 nucleotides long. Lineage: Eukaryota; Viridiplantae; Streptophyta; Magnoliopsida; Brassicales; Brassicaceae. The record is from RefSeq and is a predicted model, not a curated record.
ACUGUCAAGAUAAUGUCAUACGCCUGCAAAAUGGCUGAUAUCACACAAGAAGGAGUUUCACUUGUUGAAGACAUAUUUAGACGAAGACAACCUCUACCUUCAAUGGAUGCGAUUUAUUUCAUCCAGCCAACUAAAGAGAACGUCAUCAUGUUCUUGUCAGACAUGUCUGG